UGGGGUACAAAAGAAUUCUUCCGAGGCUC
RNAcentral lists this non-coding RNA (29 nucleotides) under Mus musculus (house mouse). Lineage: Eukaryota; Metazoa; Chordata; Mammalia; Rodentia; Muridae. The record is from RNAcentral.